This 373-nucleotide ribosomal RNA is filed under the name uncultured bacterium. RNAcentral describes it as "bacterial SSU rRNA". It matches the Rfam family "Bacterial small subunit ribosomal RNA", at positions 524 to 898 of the family's 1533-position model. The record is from RNAcentral.
UACGUAGGGGGCAAGCGUUAUCCGGAAUCACUGGGCGUAAAGGGUGCGUAGGCGGCCGAUAAAGUCUGGGGUGAAAGGCUACGGCUUAACCGUAGUAAGCCUUGGAAACUUAUUGGCUUGAGUGCAGGAGAGGUAAGUGGAAUUCCUAGUGUAGCGGUGAAAUGCGUAGAUAUUAGGAGGAACACCAGUGGCGAAGGCGACUUACUGGACUGUAACUGACGCUGAGGCACGAAAGCGUGGGGAGCGAACAGGAUUAGAUACCCUGGUAGUCCACGCCGUAAACGAUGAGUGCUAGGUGUCGGGGGCGACAGCCCUCGGUGCCGCAGCUAACGCAUUAAGCACUCCGCCUGGGGAGUACGCUCGCAAGAGUGAA